Molecule: ribosomal RNA, 737 nt
Filed under: Limosilactobacillus fermentum
Lineage: Bacteria; Bacillati; Bacillota; Bacilli; Lactobacillales; Lactobacillaceae
Description: bacterial SSU rRNA
Rfam family: Bacterial small subunit ribosomal RNA
Source: RNAcentral
UGCAAGUCGAACGCGUUGGCCCAAUUGAUUGAUGGUGCUUGCACCUGAUUGAUUUUGGUCGCCAACGAGUGGCGGACGGGUGAGUAACACGUAGGUAACCUGCCCAGAAGCGGGGGACAACAUUUGGAAACAGAUGCUAAUACCGCAUAACAGCGUUGUUCGCAUGAACAACGCUUAAAAGAUGGCUUCUCGCUAUCACUUCUGGAUGGACCUGCGGUGCAUUAGCUUGUUGGUGGGGUAACGGCCUACCAAGGCGAUGAUGCAUAGCCGAGUUGAGAGACUGAUCGGCCACAAUGGGACUGAGACACGGCCCAUACUCCUACGGGAGGCAGCAGUAGGGAAUCUUCCACAAUGGGCGCAAGCCUGAUGGAGCAACACCGCGUGAGUGAAGAAGGGUUUCGGCUCGUAAAGCUCUGUUGUUAAAGAAGAACACGUAUGAGAGUAACUGUUCAUACGUUGACGGUAUUUAACCAGAAAGUCACGGCUAACUACGUGCCAGCAGCCGCGGUAAUACGUAGGUGGCAAGCGUUAUCCGGAUUUAUUGGGCGUAAAGAGAGUGCAGGCGGUUUUCUAAGUCUGAUGUGAAAGCCUUCGGCUUAACCGGAGAAGUGCAUCGGAAACUGGAUAACUUGAGUGCAGAAGAGGGUAGUGGAACUCCAUGUGUAGCGGUGGAAUGCGUAGAUAUAUGGAAGAACACCAGUGGCGAAGGCGGCUACCUGGUCUGCAACUGACGCUGA